RNAcentral lists this ribosomal RNA (1308 nucleotides) under Triticum aestivum (bread wheat). Its description in RNAcentral is "partial small subunit ribosomal RNA". The record is from RNAcentral. Lineage: Eukaryota; Viridiplantae; Streptophyta; Magnoliopsida; Poales; Poaceae.
AUGCGGGGGCAGGGGCAGAUCUCCCGCCGGCUGGUCGUGCUUGCGGCGGUGGCCGGGCUGCUGCUGCUGGCGUGGGCGCCGGGUGCGGCUGCCGUGGACGUCCAGGCGGUGCUCGCCCCGUUCCCCGACCUCGCCGGCUUCGCGCGCCUGCUCGCGUCCAGUCCCGUGGCCCGCGAGCUGGCCGGGCGGUCCUCGCUGACGCUGCUCGCCGUGCCCAACGCCGACCUCCCCCAGUCGCCCUCGGCGUUCGCGGCCGCCGCGGGCGCCGACCUCGCCGACGUGCUCCGCUACCACGUCCUCCUCGAGUACCUCUCCCCCGCCGACCUCCGCCGCCUCCCGGCCGCCGGGAAGCUGGUCACCACGCUGUUCCAGACCACCGGCCGCGCCUCCGCCGACCUCGGCGCCGUCAACGUCACGGCCGCCGGGCCGGGCCUCGGCGUCGUCCGCUCGCCCGCGCCCUUCCCCGGGUCCAACGCCACCGUGCUCGGCUCCGUCACCUCCGUGCCGUACAACCUGAGCGUGCUGGCCGUGGACGGCCUCAUCGCGCCCUCCGGCUUCGACCUGGCGGCCUCCGAGUCCCGCCCCCCCGCCGCCGUCAACAUCACCCGCGUCCUCGCCGACGCGCGCGGGUUCAACGUGGCGGCGUCCAUGCUGGAGGCCUCCGGCGUGGCGGAGGAGUUCGAGGGCGACGAGCGCGGCGCCGGCAUCACGGUGUUCGUCCCCACCGACGACGCCUUCGCCAGCCUCCCCGCCGGCGACCGGCUCCAGUCCCUCCCCGCCGACCGCAAGGCCGUGGUGCUCCGCUUCCACGUCCUCCAUUCCUACUACCCGCUGGGGUCGCUGGAGUCGAUCGUGAACCCGCUGCAGCCGACCCUGGCCACCGAGUACGCCAGCCAGGCCGGCCGCUUCACCCUCAACAUCACCCGCUCCAACGGCUCCGUAGCCAUCGACACCGGCGUCGUGCAGGCCACCAUCACGCGCACCGUCUUCGACCAGAACCCCGUCGCCGUCUUCGCCGUCUCCAAGGUGCUGCUCCCAAAGGAGAUGUUCACCAGGGCCGACUCGGCCGCCGUCGUCGCCGCGGCCCUGGCGCCCCCGCCGGCGGCCGCCAGCUCGAUGCCGCCGGAGCCGCCCGAGAGCGCGCGGACGCCGCCGACGAAGCUGUCCUCGCCCCCCGCGCUGCGCGGCGGGGCCAGGAACGGCACCGCGGUUUCGCCGCCGUCGUCGUCGGCGGCAAAGGCAACGGCAACUGGGCGGUGGUGUAUAGCAUUGUUGUAUGUACUACCAGCACUGCUGCCUCUGGUAUGA